GAUGAACGUUGGCGGCGUGCCUAAUACAUGCAAGUCGAGCGAACGGACGAGAAGCUUGCUUCUCUGAUGUUAGCGGCGGACGGGUGAGUAACACGUGGAUAACCUACCUAUAAGACUGGGAUAACUUCGGGAAACCGGAGCUAAUACCGGAUGAUAUUUUGAACCGCAUGGUUCAAAAGUGAAAGACGGUCUUGCUGUCACUUAUAGAUGAAUCCGCGCUGCAUUAGCUAGUUGGUAAGGUAACGGCUUACCAAGGCAACGAUGCAUAGCCGACCUGAGAGGGUGAUCGGCCACACUGGAACUGAGACACGGUCCAGACUCCUACGGGAGGCAGCAGUAGGGAAUCUUCCGCAAUGGGCGAAAGCCUGACGGAGCAACGCCGCGUGAGUGAUGAAGGUCUUCGGAUCGUAAAACUCUGUUAUUAGGGAAGAACAUAUGUGUAAGUAACUGUGCACAUCUUGACGGUACCUAAUCAGAAAGCCACGGCUAACUACGUG
Molecule: ribosomal RNA, 497 nt
Filed under: uncultured bacterium
Lineage: Bacteria
Description: partial 16S ribosomal RNA
Rfam family: Bacterial small subunit ribosomal RNA
Source: RNAcentral